Molecule: transfer RNA, 90 nt
Filed under: Omnitrophica bacterium RIFCSPLOWO2_01_FULL_50_24
Lineage: Bacteria; Pseudomonadati; Candidatus Omnitrophota
Description: tRNA-Ser
Rfam family: tRNA
About the family: Transfer RNA (tRNA) molecules are approximately 80 nucleotides in length.
Source: RNAcentral
GGAGGAGUGGCAGAGUGGACGAAUGCGGCGGUCUCGAAAACCGUUGGGGUCGCAAGGCCCUCGUAGGUUCGAAUCCUACCUCCUCCGCCA